Molecule: ribosomal RNA, 452 nt
Filed under: soil bacterium 10G-04
Lineage: Bacteria
Description: bacterial SSU rRNA
Rfam family: Bacterial small subunit ribosomal RNA
Source: RNAcentral
UCAGGAUGAACGCUGGCGGCGUGCUUAACACAUGCAAGUCGAACGAUGAUCCCAGCUUGCUGGGGGAUUAGUGGCGAACGGGUGAGUAACACGUGAGUAACCUNCCCUUAACUNUGGGAUAAGCCUGGGAAACUGGGUCUAAUACCGGAUAUGACUCCUCAUCGCAUGGUGGGGGGUGGAAAGCUUUAUUGUGGUUUUGGAUGGACUCGCGGCCUAUCAGCUUGUUGGUGAGGUAAUGGCUCACCAAGGNGANGACGGGUAGCCGGCCUGAGAGGGUGACCGGCCACACUGGGACUGAGACACGGCCCAGACUCNUACGGGAGGCAGCAGUGGGGAAUAUUGCACAAUGGGCGAAAGCCUGAUGCAGNGACGCCGCGUGAGGGANGACGGCCUUCGGGUUGUAAACCUCUUUCAGUAGGGAANAAGCGAAAGUGACGGUACUGCAGAAGAGC